AACGAAUUAUUUGAUUUUUUCUUUCUGUUGUUUCUUUGUUUUCAUUGUUAUACUCAUAAUAACAGAAAACGAAAUGUUCGGCGAUUCAUGAUUCGCUUGCAGCAAGUGAUUUGGUUCAGAAAGUGAUUGGGAAAGCAAAUCAACUUGUCUUUAUUUUAUUUUGAGAGAACAAAAAGUUAGAAAGUUGUUGUCCAAUUGGACCCUAUGGGUUUAUCCAUUCAUUAUACAUUAGUUGGCGGAUAAGGGUUUGUCAGGGGAUUAACCAAAAUAUUUCCUCUCCAAUCAGUCAUUUGGAGGUUAAGAGGUAGCCACCUGACCAAGUUACCAUCACUAUUUUGGCGAUUUUCUGUGUCACCAAUUUAUCACGAAAAGCCAUGGUAAAUUUUCAAACCUCUACACGUCUCAUAUAUCAAUUAAUUAGGAGCAAUGUUUUGAGGAUGAAUUUUCUCUGUCACCAUCAAUAUUG
Molecule: RNA transcript, 466 nt
Organism: Arabidopsis thaliana (thale cress)
Lineage: Eukaryota; Viridiplantae; Streptophyta; Magnoliopsida; Brassicales; Brassicaceae
Exons: 2
Source: RefSeq